UCUCUCUCUGCUGGCUGGCUGGCUGUCUAGGCCUAUGUGUCACCACCUGGCACUUGCUCUCAUUGUCUUGUGCGAGUGCUUUUGCCAGCAGUUUGGAGUGCAGACCCAUCACCCCUCACUGGGGCCCCCCAUGAGGCCUGCCUGACUGCAUGCCCCACCCGGGCCCAUGGCAGCGCACCUGGAAGCGGACGGCUGAGGACUUGUUGCAGUGCAUGGAGAUGGGCGCGAAGCUGUACAGGGCCUUCAGUACGUCGCGGUUGAAGGAGUUCCAGGGAACAGAGGUGAACUGCUGAGACACGGACGCCUGAGGGCAGGAAGCCGGCGUCCACAGCGCUCUUGCAGAGCUCCAGCUGCGUCUGGGGGUAGUAGUGCACGUAGUUGACACACAUCUCCUCCAGGAUCCCGAAGCCCCCCUGCAAGUUGGAGGAGACCCGUCAGCCCCGGGCCAUGCCACGCAGACGCUGCCAUCCAGCAGCUUUCGCCGCACCCACGUGUACACUGCGUCCACUCGUCUGUUCACUGCACCGUGCCAGGCAUGCUCUGGGGAACCGAGUCCCUGCCCUCAAGGAAUUGCCACCAUUGGCAGGAGAGACAGGCAGUGAGUGAGUGAGUCAACCAGGAAAUUCGUAUCAGGUACUGAUGAUGCUGUGAGGAAAAAUGAAACGGGACAAGCGGAUGGGGUGUUAUUGUGCCCAUUUUAUGGGUACAGAAACUGAGUCUCAGAGCAGGCAAGGGGAUGCCCCGUGGUGGCCACAGCAUCGGUGGCACAGCCUGAGUGCACCCAGCGUCCCGGCCAUUGUCUGGAAGCUGUCCCCAUGACCUCCAGCGAGAGCCUGGAGCCAAGGACUGCAAGGGAGGCCCUUUCCACUGCAGCCCCGCACCGUCCACCAGUCAUUUCUCCAACGUGGCUCUGAGGGGAGCAGGGACUCUAUAAGACAGGACCGUGACUAGAGGCCGCGACAACCUCCAGCCUCUCACGGCAACCCUACGGCCUGCCAUCGCAUGGGAGGGGCAGGGCAGGCACCCUCUGAGUCCCCACUGCCAGCUUUAAGCCCCUCGCUGGGUUGCUGCUCUUGGAGCUGGUGACCGUGGAGCCUCAGCCAUAGGAGGAAGAACAGCAGCAGCUUGGAGGAGCUGGGGCUGGAGAGAGCAAAGCUCCCCCGGCAGCAGCUCAGAUCCCAGCAGGUCAGGGGCCGGGACAUGACGCCCUGGCCACCCUUGCCCCUCCAGGCUCCCCGCUGUUUGUGAAGCUGCUGUGGGCCUGGGGAUUUCAUCUGGCUGGUGGGGAAGAAAGGCAAUCUUUACUCUAUGGCAGAACAAAGGGACUGGGCAAAGCUUGGCGUGGCACUUACACCAGCUGCCGCCCCCUCCUCCCGUGCAGACAAAGAGCAUGGGACAGUUCUGCCCAGAGACGAAACCUGGCACCUGUUGGCCAGGACGCGUUUUUGCCAGCAUUGUUCUCUGGGCCGGAUUCCUCCUUUCCCAGCUUUUCUCAUCCAUCCCGCCCCCGUCAGAUCGGGACGAUUGCCCUCCUGUGUGAGUUCCUGUCCCUCCCCACCCUCUGCCACCACAGACAUCAAAAGGGAACUGAGUCCGACCCUGUGUAGAAUCUGUUCUCCUCUUUCACCUGGGGAAGGAAAUCGAAUUUCAAAGGCCACUGUGUCUUGGAUCAGCAGGCGAGGGCUUGUCAGAGUGUGAGAAGCUCAGGUCCACCUGGGGAGCUGCCCUCCCCUUUGAUCCCACCUGGUGCUGUGAUGUGGCCACUGCCAAGAGGACGACAUGGGCCAGGGAAGCCACAGAACUGCCCACGGGGACGCUGGCACCGAGGGCCUCAACCUGCAGAACGGCCAUCUGAGAUGUCCGCGGUGCUCACCAGGCCUGGCAGCCCCGAACGCCCUGGGACGUGGCGUCAGUUCCGCCGCCGUGAAGCCAGAUUGGGCAGGGAAUAUGCAGUCUCCUCGCUGGAUGCCCGGCAAGACCCUCCCAUCCCUGGCCCCGGGGCCGCGCCUGCAGAAUGGGGCUGAUGGUGGGGACUUGCCUGGGGUGCUCCACCUGCAGAGCCCUCUGUUUGCGAGCCCACUCAGUCACUGCACAGGUGCUUAGCCGAGAGGCGGCACAGUCGGGGUUGGCACCUGCACCCAUACCAGCCCUGCCUCCUGUUCGCUGUGUGGCCUGAGUGGCUGGACCUCACUGUAUCUCCUGGUGGGAUUGCUCAGAGGUCUCAGCAAGGCUUGGUGUGGUUAGGAUGAGUUAUUAGAGCAGUGCUGAGCUGUGGCAAGCACCCGACAUCAGCCACUGCUGUGAUAUACUGAGCACCUCCUCUAGAGAGAAUAAAGGACUGACAAAGC
This 2348-nucleotide long non-coding RNA is filed under the name Homo sapiens (human). Its description in RNAcentral is "HSALNT0355283". Lineage: Eukaryota; Metazoa; Chordata; Mammalia; Primates; Hominidae. The record is from RNAcentral.